AUUGAACGCUGGCGGCAGACCUAACACAUGCAAGUCGAACGAGUGGCGGACGGGUGAGUAAUGUCUGGGAAACUGCCUGAUGGAGGGGGAUAACUACUGGAAACGGUAGCUAAUACCGCAUACCAUCGGAUGUGCCCAGAUGGGAUUAGCUAGUAGGUGGGGUAAAGGCUCACCUAGGCGACGAUCCCUAGCUGGUCUGAGAGGAUGACCGGCCACACUGGAACGAGGACAGGGUCCGAAGCCCUAGGGGGGGCGGCAGUGGGGAAUAUUGGACAAUGGGCGCAAGCCGGAUGCAGACAGGCCGGGUGUAGGAAGAGGGCCUUCGGGUUGUAAAGUACGUUCAGCGGGGAGGCGUUACCCGCAGAAGAAGCACCGGCUAACUCCGUGCCAGCAGCCGCGGAAAUA
This 405-nucleotide ribosomal RNA is filed under the name uncultured bacterium. RNAcentral's name for it is "partial 16S ribosomal RNA". It matches the Rfam family "Bacterial small subunit ribosomal RNA", at positions 29 to 525 of the family's 1533-position model. The record is from RNAcentral.